CGGAGCUUGCUCUGUGGGAUCAGUGGCGAACGGGUGAGUAACACGUGAGCAACCUGCCCCUGACUCUGGGAUAAGCGCUGGAAACGGCGUCUAAUACUGGAUAUGUGACGUGACCGCAUGGUCUGCGUUUGGAAAGAUUUUUCGGUUGGGGAUGGGCUCGCGGCCUAUCAGCUUGUUGGUGAGGUAAUGGCUCACCAAGGCGUCGACGGGUAGCCGGCCUGAGAGGGUGACCGGCCACACUGGGACUGAGACACGGCCCAGACUCCUACGGGAGGCAGCAGUGGGGAAUAUUGCACAAUGGGCGCAAGCCUGAUGCAGCAACGCCGCGUGAGGGAUGACGGCCUUCGGGUUGUAAACCUCUUUUAGCAGGGAAGAAGCGAAAGUGACGGUACCUGCAGAAAAAGCGCCGGCUAACUACGUGCCAGCAGCCGCGGUAAUACGUAGGGCGCAAGCGUUAUCCGGAAUUAUUGGGCGUAAAGAGCUCGUAGGCGGUUUGUCGGUCUGCUGUGAAAUCCCGAGGCUCAACCUCGGGCCUGCAGUGGGUACGGGCAGACUAGAGUGCGGUAGGGGAGAUUGGAAUUCCUGGUGUAGCGGUGGAAUGCGCAGAUAUCAGGAGGAACACCGAUGGCGAAGGCAGAUCUCUGGGCCGUAACUGACGCUGAGGAGCGAAAGGGUGGGGAGCAAACAGGCUUAGAUACCCUGGUAGUCCACCCCGUAAACGUUGGGAACUAGUUGUGGGGUCCAUUCCACGGAUUCCGUGACGCAGCUAACGCAUUAAGUUCCCCGCCUGGGGAGUACGGCCGCAAGGCUAAAACUCAAAGGAAUUGACGGGGACCCGCACAAGCGGCGGAGCAUGCGGAUUAAUUCGAUGCAACGCGAAGAACCUUACCAAGGCUUGACAUAUACGAGAACGGGCCAGAAAUGGUCAACUCUUUGGACACUCGUAAACAGGUGGUGCAUGGUUGUCGUCAGCUCGUGUCGUGAGAUGUUGGGUUAAGUCCCGCAACGAGCGCAACCCUCGUUCUAUGUUGCCAGCACGUAAUGGUGGGAACUCAUGGGAUACUGCCGGGGUCAACUCGGAGGAAGGUGGGGAUGACGUCAAAUCAUCAUGCCCCUUAUGUCUUGGGCUUCACGCAUGCUACAAUGGCCGGUACAAAGGGGUGCAAUACCGUGAGGUGGAGCGAAUCCCAAAAAGCCGGUCCCAGUUCGGAUUGAGGUCUGCAACUCGACCUCAUGAAGUCGGAGUCGCUAGUAAUCGCAGAUCAGCAACGCUGCGGUGAAUACUUCCCGGGUCUUGUACACCCCGCCCGUCAAGUCAUGAAAGUCGGUAACACCUGAAG
RNAcentral lists this ribosomal RNA (1340 nucleotides) under Microbacterium sp. Motile. RNAcentral describes it as "bacterial SSU rRNA". It matches the Rfam family "Bacterial small subunit ribosomal RNA", at positions 74 to 1426 of the family's 1533-position model. The record is from RNAcentral. Lineage: Bacteria; Bacillati; Actinomycetota; Actinomycetes; Micrococcales; Microbacteriaceae.